GGUAGAGCGCAACCUUGCCAAGGUUGAGGUCGCCGGUUCGAGGCCGGUCAUCCGCUCAG
Molecule: transfer RNA, 59 nt
Filed under: Acidimicrobiaceae bacterium
Lineage: Bacteria; Bacillati; Actinomycetota; Acidimicrobiia; Acidimicrobiales; Acidimicrobiaceae
Description: tRNA-Ser
Rfam family: tRNA
About the family: Transfer RNA (tRNA) molecules are approximately 80 nucleotides in length. Their secondary structure includes four short double-helical elements and three loops (D, anti-codon, and T loops).
Source: RNAcentral